Molecule: ribosomal RNA, 456 nt
Filed under: uncultured bacterium
Lineage: Bacteria
Description: bacterial SSU rRNA
Rfam family: Bacterial small subunit ribosomal RNA
Source: RNAcentral
UACGGAAGGCAGCAGUGGGGAAUAUUGCACAAUGGGCGAAAGCCUGAUGCAGCUAUGCCGCGUGUAUGAAGAAGGCCUUAGGGUUGUAAAGUACUUUCAUCGGGGAGGAAAAAACAAAACUAAUAAUUUUAUUUCUUGACGUUACCCGAAAAAGAAGCACUGGCUAACUCCGUGCCAGCAGCCGCGGUAAUACGGAGGGUGCUAGCGUUAAUCAGAAUUACUGGGCGUAAAGAGCACGUAGGUGGUUUUUUUAAGUCAGAUGUGAAAUCCCUGGGCUUAACCUGGAACUGCAUUUUGAAACUGAAAUACUAGAGUAUCGUAGAGGGAGGUAGAAUUCUAGGUGUAGCGGUGAAAUGCGUAGAUAUCUGGAGGAAUACCUGUGGCGAAAGCGGGCCUCCUAAACGAAUACUGACACUGAGGUGCGAAAGCGUGGGGAGCAAACAGGGAUUAGAUACC